UCGAACGGGCUCAUAUUGAACCUAGUGAUGUAUGAGUUAGUGGCGGACGGGUGAGUAACGCGUGGAGAACCUGCCGUAUACUGGGGGAUAACACUUAGAAAUAGGUGCUAAUACCGCAUAAGCGCACAGCUUCGCAUGAAGCAGUGUGAAAAACUCCGGUGGUAUACGAUGGAUCCGCGUCUGAUUAGCUGGUUGGCGGGGUAACAGCCCACCAAGGCGACGAUCAGUAGCCGGCCUGAGAGGGUGAACGGCCACAUUGGGACUGAGACACGGCCCAAACUCCUACGGGAGGCAGCAGUGGGGAAUAUUGCACAAUGGGGGAAACCCUGAUGCAGCGACGCCGCGUGAGUGAAGAAGUAUUUCGGUAUGUAAAGCUCUAUCAGCAGGGAAGAAAAUGACGGUACCUGACUAAGAAGCCCCGGCUAACUACGUGCCAGCAGCCGCGGUAAUACGUAGGGGGCAAGCGUUAUCCGGAUUUACUGGGUGUAAAGGGAGCGUAGACGGCAGCGCAAGUCUGAAGUGAAAUCCCAUGGCUUAACCAUGGAACUGCUUUGGAAACUGUGCAGCUGGAGUGCAGGAGAGGUAAGCGGAAUUCCUAGUGUAGCGGUGAAAUGCGUAGAUAUUAGGAGGAACACCAGUGGCGAAGGCGGCUUACUGGACUGUAACUGACGUUGAGGCUCGAAAGCGUGGGGAGCAAACAGGAUUAGAUACCCUGGUAGUCCACGCCGUANACGAUGAUUACUAGGUNUUGGGGGACCAAG
Molecule: ribosomal RNA, 761 nt
Filed under: uncultured bacterium
Lineage: Bacteria
Description: bacterial SSU rRNA
Rfam family: Bacterial small subunit ribosomal RNA
Source: RNAcentral